GACGAACGCUGGCGGCGUGCUUAACACAUGCAAGUCGAACGGAAAGGCCCUGCUCUUGUGGGGUGCUCGAGUGGCGAACGGGUGAGUAACACGUGAGUAACCUGCCCUUGACUUUGGGAUAACUUCAGGAAACUGGGGCUCAUACCGGAUAGGAGCUCCUGCUGCAUGGUGGGGGUGGGAAAGUUUCGGCGUUUGGGGAUGGACUCGCGGCUUAUCAGCUUGUUGGUGGGGUAGUGGCUUACAAAGGCGAUGAUGGGUAGCCGGAUUGUGAGGGAGACAGGGCACAUAGUGACAGGGGAAGGAGCAGGAGGGAAACGGGAGGCAGGGGUGAGAGUCAUUGCAAGCAGGGCGGCGGCCUGAAGGAGGGUCGUCGGGUGGUGGAUCACGGCUGGUAGGGUGGAAAGCGGGUGAGAGUGGGAAGAAGAGUGAGUGACGGUAACGGGUAAGGAAGCGCCGGCUAACUACGUG
This 468-nucleotide ribosomal RNA is filed under the name uncultured bacterium. RNAcentral's name for it is "partial 16S ribosomal RNA". It matches the Rfam family "Bacterial small subunit ribosomal RNA", at positions 28 to 507 of the family's 1533-position model. The record is from RNAcentral.